ACAAAUUCCGAUCUAGAGCUCCCACGCUUGGGGGCUGUGGAGCGCUCGCCAGCCGCUCCCCGUUUGCUGCUGGGUCUUACGAAGUUCUCAUAUCCAUCAUACAGUUUCUUUGUCACACUGUCCGCGGCACGCCAGUCCCUAUGACAGAAAGCACCUGCGGUCUGUCUGGAGGCGGAGUUGGUGGCGGAGAGAAAAAGUUCUGGAGACACCUGGUUGGGAGCAGGCUAAGGAAACAAAUGGGGAGGAAUUAGCCACAAAUCCUCAAAUAGACAGCUACUCAAAGGCAUCUUCACGGACAAUUUCCAAGCAUUGGAUGCAGUGGUGCAUUCUUGCAUUGGGCAGUGAUUGUGUGCACACAUCUCUUUAAGGGAGAGUGGAAAUGGGGUGAGGAGGAAAAUGGGAGUAGGAUAGAGUGUAGCGUUGACAUUUAUUUUCUUUAAAGGAAGACCCGAGCAUACCUGAGAGCUCAGUGAAGAAAGUAGUUCUGGCGAAUCGGAUUAAUAUGCACCACUGAAACUUGACCUUCGGCCGGCGCGGUGGCUCACGCCUGUAAUCCCAGCACUUUGGGAGGCCGAGAUGGGCGGAUCACGAGGUCAGAAGAUCGAGACCAUCCUGGCUAACACGAGCUCAAUGUUUCCUCAAUCCCCCGGGAUCGGCAUCAGCAAAAACCCGGAGAAGCGGAGCCUUUCUCAAAGAAAAUGACCUCCAGACUCAUGCUACCAUCUCGACCGGUGCAAGUAUCACGCAUGCGCAGGGCCGGCCGCCCGGCCGCACCUCGCCAACUCCUACUCGGACACGUCAUCUAGUGCGUUUUGUUCAAUUCUUUGUUCAAAACCCCAAGAAUCUGGACAACUUGCACUCAAGACCCUCUACGGGUUUGGCGAGCCAGUCUUUCAGUGGCUGUUUUCUAGUAGCUCCUUGGCAAUUGAGGGGAACUGGCUGGGACCACUCUCCAGUGCUGUCUGAAGGCCAAGGAGUGAACAGGGAUGGCUGCCCUGCCUUGAAGAGGGAAGGACUCUUUUCUAUCCUUUCCAGCUAUAGUCCCUGAUCCCUACAUGUGAUGCGGUUGGCAGCGGAAGCUCAUCCUGGGCGAACUCACACACUUUUCAGGAGACUUAAACCUUUUCUUAUGCUAAGUUCUUCCCUUCCCCUACUCAUCUGGCUAAAGGACAGACUAUGCAAAAAAGGUUAUACAAGUCAGAGGGUCUGAGCAUGUCGGAGGUGGUCUGUGUGGGGCAUGGGGUGGGGGGAAAAUUCAUGAAAGGCAAUUUAUUGCCUAAAUUUAAAGGGUUAAAGGGUUGCUUUAAGUGGGAUAGAAAAACCUUAAGGAAAGUUCAUAGUAGGUCCUCAGUGGUGGAGUGUUGUGGGAAGUCAGGGACCCUGAAUGAAGGGACUGGCUGAAGCCAUGGCAGAAGAACAUAAACUGUGAAGAUUUCAUGGACAUUUAUUAGUUCCCCAAAUUAACACUUUUAUAAUUUCUUACGCCUGUCUUUACUGCAAUCUCUGAACAUAAAUUGUGAAGAUUUUAUGGACAUUUAUCACUUCCCCAAUCAAUACUCUUGUGAUUUCCUA
Molecule: long non-coding RNA, 1572 nt
Organism: Homo sapiens (human)
Lineage: Eukaryota; Metazoa; Chordata; Mammalia; Primates; Hominidae
Product: long intergenic non-protein coding RNA 1232
Source: Ensembl